This 113-nucleotide non-coding RNA is filed under the name Paramoeba aestuarina. The record is from RNAcentral. Lineage: Eukaryota; Discosea; Flabellinia; Dactylopodida; Paramoebidae.
GAAGUAGGACAAGAGAAAGAGAUGAUCGAAAUAUGUUCAAUCUUAACCGUCCCUCUCUCUUCCACCCUUUCUCUUUCUUCCCUUUCUCUUUCUUCCAUUUCUCUUUCUUCUAG